This 465-nucleotide ribosomal RNA is filed under the name uncultured bacterium. RNAcentral's name for it is "partial 16S ribosomal RNA". It matches the Rfam family "Bacterial small subunit ribosomal RNA", at positions 28 to 507 of the family's 1533-position model. The record is from RNAcentral.
GACGAACGCUGGCGGCGUGCUUAACACAUGCAAGUCGUACGGUAAGGCCCUUUCGGGGGUACACGAGUGGCGAACGGGUGAGUAACACGUGAGUAACCUGCCCACAACUUUGGGAUAACGCUAGGAAACUGGUGCUAAUACUGGAUAUGUGCUCCUGCUGCAUGGUGGGGGUUGGAAAGCUCCGGCGGUUGUGGAUGGACUCGCGGCCUAUCAGCUUGUUGGUGGGGUAGUGGCCUACCAAGGCGGCGACGGGUAGCCGGCCUGAGAGGGUGACCGGCCACAUUGGGACUGAGAUACGGCCCAGACUCCUACGGGAGGCAGCAGUGGGGAAUAUUGCACAAUGGGCGCAAGCCUGAUGCAGCAACGCCGCGUGCGGGAUGACGGCCUUCGGGUUGUAAACCGCUUUCAGCAGGGACCAAGCUUUUUGUGACGGUACCUGCAGAAGAAGCACCGGCUAACUACGUG